CAUAUAAGCAGUUCAGUAAAGACAAAAUUAGUACUUUCUGAUACAUUUAAAGAGUCGUGAAUUUCGAAUUUAGUUUUCCCGAGAUUAACUUUUUCUUUUUUUAAGGCAGAGGCAAUUCUACUAACCAUGGUCCCAUCGAUAGUGCACUAUCUCGUUCGUUAAAGCGUGGAGGGAGCUUUCCAGUGCUUUUUAUGGUGGUGUUGGUAUUCGUAGUGGCUGUCUACGUUGGAUAUCACAA
Long non-coding RNA from Stylophora pistillata, 238 nucleotides. The record is from RefSeq and is a predicted model, not a curated record. Lineage: Eukaryota; Metazoa; Cnidaria; Anthozoa; Scleractinia; Pocilloporidae.